GCAAAAAGCAACACGAAAUAUUGAGAUAGGAUGGAUACAUACUGAUGGAAAAAUAACCAAACAGGGUCCUGAGACAGAUUUUGAGUUUGAGGUUUGGGACUUUAAACAGAACCACCUUACUGAUGACACCUGCCUGACGAUUGGCAAUAUGUAUGAAGCAGCGAGGCUGACAAUGUUACGCUUCUA
Molecule: long non-coding RNA, 186 nt
Organism: Girardinichthys multiradiatus
Lineage: Eukaryota; Metazoa; Chordata; Actinopteri; Cyprinodontiformes; Goodeidae
Exons: 2
Source: RefSeq, a predicted model, not a curated record